UGUCGACGACGCAUAUCAAUAAGCGGAGGAAAAGAAACCAACCGGGAUUGCCUUAGUAACGGCGAGUGAAGCGGCAAAAGCUCAAAUUUGAAAUCUGGUACCUUCGGUGCCCGAGUUGUAAUUUGGAGAGGGCAACUUUGGGGCCGUUCCUUGUCUAUGUUCCUUGGAACAGGACGUCAUAGAGGGUGAGAAUCCCGUGUGGCGAGGAGUGCGGUUCUUUGUAAAGUGCCUUCGAAGAGUCGAGUUGUUUGGGAAUGCAGCUCUAAGUGGGUGGUAAAUUCCAUCUAAAGCUAAAUAUUGGCGAGAGACCGAUAGCGAACAAGUACAGUGAUGGAAAGAUGAAAAGAACUUUGAAAAGAGAGUGAAAAAGUACGUGAAAUUGUUGAAAGGGAAGGGCAUUUGAUCAGACAUGGUGUUUUGUGCCCUCUGCUCCUUGUGGGUAGGGGAAUCUCGCAUUUCACUGGGCCAGCAUCAGUUUUGGUGGCAGGAUAAAUCCAUAGGAAUGUAGCUUGCCUCGGUAAGUAUUAUAGCCUGUGGGAAUACUGCCAGCUGGGACUGAGGACUGCGACGUAAGUCAAGGAUGCUGGCAUAAUGGUUAUAUGCCGCCCGUCUUGAAACACGGACCCCUG
Molecule: ribosomal RNA, 629 nt
Filed under: Saccharomyces cerevisiae (brewer's yeast)
Lineage: Eukaryota; Fungi; Ascomycota; Saccharomycetes; Saccharomycetales; Saccharomycetaceae
Description: eukaryotic LSU rRNA
Rfam family: Eukaryotic large subunit ribosomal RNA
Source: RNAcentral